This 95-nucleotide transfer RNA is filed under the name Bacillota bacterium. Its description in RNAcentral is "tRNA-OTHER". It matches the Rfam family "Selenocysteine transfer RNA". Lineage: Bacteria; Bacillati; Bacillota. The record is from RNAcentral.
GACGGUCAAUGGGUCCUGGUGGACUCCCUCGGCUGCAAACCGGGUGCGGCGAGCACGGCUCGACGGUUGGGUUCGAUUCCCAAGGACCGUCUCCA